UACGUAGGGUGCAAGCGUUAAUCGGAAUUACUGGGCGUAAAGCGUGCGCAGGCGGUGCUGUAAGACAGAUGUGAAAUCCCCGGGCUCAACCUGGGAACUGCAUUUGUGACUGCAUCGCUGGAGUGCGGCAGAGGGGGAUGGAAUUCCGCGUGUAGCAGUGAAAUGCGUAGAUAUGCGGAGGAACACCGAUGGCGAAGGCAAUCCCCUGGGCCUGCACUGACGCUCAUGCACGAAAGCGUGGGGAGCGAACAGG
Molecule: ribosomal RNA, 253 nt
Filed under: uncultured bacterium
Lineage: Bacteria
Description: partial 16S ribosomal RNA
Rfam family: Bacterial small subunit ribosomal RNA
Source: RNAcentral